AUUAUUGAAAAAACUAAUCUCAACUAAAAAUAUGUAAAGAGGAAAUUAUUAUCAUUUAUCACCAACUGGUAAAGAGAAUAUGUAUCGCCAUCUAGCAGCGGUACUAGCUAUUACUUCAUUGUACCGACUGACGAAAGAAAAUACAUCGCGCUUGGACACAAUCAAAAUGGCCGCCUGCCAUGUCGUUGUAAAGCCACGUGCAAUAAAUGAUUAGUGAUCAGCAAUUCAGCUUAAGAAGAAAACCAUUGGAUUUGAUGUGUGAUAUCUUGUGAAGAAAAAAAACCAUUGGACUUGAUGUGUGAUAUCUUGUGAAGAAGAAAAAACCAUUGGACUUGAUGUGUGAUAUCUUGUGAAGAAAAAAAACCAUUGGACUUGAUGUGUGAUAUCUUGUGAAGGAAAAAAAAACAUUGGACUUGAUGUUAGAUAUCAAUGCUUAAGAAGAAAACCAUUGGAUUUGUGUUUGUGAU
Molecule: long non-coding RNA, 467 nt
Organism: Polistes dominula (European paper wasp)
Lineage: Eukaryota; Metazoa; Arthropoda; Insecta; Hymenoptera; Vespidae
Source: RefSeq, a predicted model, not a curated record